AUUGAACGCUGGCGGCAGGCCUAACACAUGCAAGUCGAGCGGAUGACGGGAGCUUGCUCCUUGAUUCAGCGGCGGACGGGUGAGUAAUGCCUAGGAAUCUGCCUGGUAGUGGGGGACAACGUUUCGAAAGGAACGCUAAUACCGCAUACGUCCUACGGGAGAAAGCAGGGGACCUUCGGGCCUUGCGCUAUCAGAUGAGCCUAGGUCGGAUUAGCUAGUAGGUGAGGUAAUGGCUCACCUAGGCGACGAUCCGUAACUGGUCUGAGAGGAUGAUCAGUCACACUGGAACUGAGACACGGUCCAGACUCCUACGGGAGGCAGCAGUGGGGAAUAUUGGACAAUGGGCGAAAGCCUGAUCCAGCCAUGCCGCGUGUGUGAAGAAGGUCUUCGGAUUGUAAAGCACUUUAAGUUGGGAGGAAGGGCAGUAAGUUAAUACCUUGCUGUUUUGACGUUACCGACAGAAUAAGCACCGGCUAACUCUGUGUCAGCCGCCGCAGUAA
This 500-nucleotide ribosomal RNA is filed under the name uncultured bacterium. RNAcentral's name for it is "partial 16S ribosomal RNA". It matches the Rfam family "Bacterial small subunit ribosomal RNA", at positions 30 to 523 of the family's 1533-position model. The record is from RNAcentral.